CGCCCGUCCCGCCGCCCCCGCCCGUGGCGGACGGGUGAGUAACGCGUGGGGAACCUGCCUCAGACCGGGGGAUAGCAGCUGGAAACGGCUGGUAAUACCGCAUAAGCGCACAGCUCCGCAUGGAGCGGUGUGAAAAACUCCGGUGGUCUGAGAUGGACCCGCGUCUGAUUAGCCAGUUGGCGGGGUAACGGCCCACCAAAGCGACGAUCAGUAGCCGGCCUGAGAGGGCGGACGGCCACAUUGGGACUGAGACACGGCCCAGACUCCUACGGGAGGCAGCAGUGGGGGAUAUUGCACAAUGGAGGAAACUCUGAUGCAGCGACGCCGCGUGAGUGAAGAAGUACUUCGGUAUGUAAAGCUCUGUCAGCAGGGAAGAAAGGCCCCGCAAGGGGAGAUGACGGUACCUGAAAAAAAAGCCCCGGCUAAUUACGUGCCAGCAGCCGCGGUAAUACG
This 453-nucleotide ribosomal RNA is filed under the name uncultured Lachnospiraceae bacterium. Its description in RNAcentral is "bacterial SSU rRNA". It matches the Rfam family "Bacterial small subunit ribosomal RNA", at positions 78 to 527 of the family's 1533-position model. Lineage: Bacteria; Bacillati; Bacillota; Clostridia; Lachnospirales; Lachnospiraceae. The record is from RNAcentral.